This 495-nucleotide ribosomal RNA is filed under the name uncultured bacterium. Its description in RNAcentral is "partial 16S ribosomal RNA". It matches the Rfam family "Bacterial small subunit ribosomal RNA", at positions 28 to 507 of the family's 1533-position model. The record is from RNAcentral.
GACGAACGCUGGCGGCGUGCCUAAUACAUGCAAGUAGAACGCUGAAGGAGGAGCUUGCUUCUCCGGAUGAGUUGCGAACGGGUGAGUAACGCGUAGGUAACCUGCCUGGUAGCGGGGGAUAACUAUUGGAAACGAUAGCUAAUACCGCAUAACAGUAGAUAUUGCAUGAUAUCUGCUUGAAAGGUGCAAUUGCAUCACUACCAGAUGGACCUGCGUUGUAUUAGCUAGUUGGUGAGGUAACGGCUCACCAAGGCGACGAUACAUAGCCGACCUGAGAGGGUGAUCGGCCACACUGGGACUGAGGCACGGCCCAGACUCCUACGGGAGGCAGCAGUAGGGAAUCUUCGGCAAUGGACGGAAGUCUGACCGAGCAACGCCGCGUGAGUGAAGAAGGUUUUCGGAUCGUAAAGCUCUGUUGUAAGAGAAGAACGAGUGUGAGAGUGGAAAGUUCACACUGUGACGGUAUCUUACCAGAAAGAGACGGCUAACUACGUG